UACAGAGGGUGCGAGCGUUAAUCGGAAUUACUGGGCGUAAAGGGUGCGUAGGUGGUUUUUGUAAGUUAGAUGUGAAAUUCCUGGGCUUAACCUGGGGACUGCGUCUGAUACUGCGAGGCUAGAGUAUUGUAGAGGGAAGUGGAAUUUCCGGUGUAGCAGUGAAAUGCGUAGAUAUCGGAAGGAACAUCAGUGGCGAAGGCAACUUCCUGGACAGAUACUGACACUGAGGCACGAAAGCGUGGGGAGCAAACAGG
RNAcentral lists this ribosomal RNA (254 nucleotides) under uncultured bacterium. Its description in RNAcentral is "partial 16S ribosomal RNA". It matches the Rfam family "Bacterial small subunit ribosomal RNA", at positions 524 to 776 of the family's 1533-position model. The record is from RNAcentral.